RNAcentral lists this ribosomal RNA (430 nucleotides) under Pseudomonadota bacterium. RNAcentral's name for it is "Proteobacteria bacterium partial 16S ribosomal RNA". It matches the Rfam family "Bacterial small subunit ribosomal RNA", at positions 355 to 776 of the family's 1533-position model. Lineage: Bacteria; Pseudomonadati; Pseudomonadota. The record is from RNAcentral.
UGGGGAAUAUUGGACAAUGGGGGGAACCCUGAUCCAGCCAUGCCGCGUGUGUGAAGAAGGCCUUAUGGUUGUAAAGCACUUUAAGCGAGGAGGAGGGUACUGGUAUUAAUACUACCAGGUACUGGACGUUACUCGCAGAAUAAGCACCGGCUAACUCUGUGCCAGCAGCCGCGGUAAUACAGAGGGUGCGAGCGUUAAUCGGAUUUACUGGGCGUAAAGCGUGCGUAGGCGGCUAAUUGAGUCGGAUGUGAAAUCCCCGAGCUUAACUUGGGAAUUGCAUUCGAUACUGGUUAGCUAGAGUGUGGGGGAGGAUGGUAGAAUUCCAGGUGUAGCGGUGAAAUGCGUAGAGAUCUGGAGGAACACCAGUGGCGAAGGCGACCACCUGGGCUCAUACUGACACUGAGGUGCGAAAGCGUGGGGAGCAAACAGG